This 542-nucleotide long non-coding RNA is filed under the name Homo sapiens (human). Its description in RNAcentral is "non-protein coding lnc-ESRP1-2:9". The record is from RNAcentral. Lineage: Eukaryota; Metazoa; Chordata; Mammalia; Primates; Hominidae.
GCGAAGUGCGGAGACGGGGUUUUGGAGACGGUGGAUGGAGGAGGGGGAGGGAAAGCUGCCAACUUUGGAUACCAACCCCGUACACCCACCGAAGGGGAUGUCCCACUUUUUCCAGCGCUGGGAGCAAAAAGAUAACAGUGAGCGAGGUUGAAAAGGAGUCUACUCCUAUGUAAAUCUUCUGCAGGUUGUGCAGUGGACUUCACCUAGUCUCCCAUCUCCAGCUAAUUUGGCCAAGAAUAGUCACCUGGCGCAAGGUGGGGAGGGAGCUCUCAAUUGGCCAGCAACUUCUGACGUGUGACCUGACUGAACAAUGAGAGGCUCGAGUGAAAUUACCAGCUGGUAGUAGGACAGAGGAUAUAGAUACAUGGAAUGGAGCUGAGCCAAAUUAAUGACAAAGGACUAGACAAGAAUGACUGUUGAUGAUCACCUAUGCUGAGAUCACAAAGCUGCCCCGAGUCCAGAAGCAGGUUCACUGAGGGAGGCUCAACCAUGUUACCAAUCUUGUUUGAGAUUAAUGUUCCUUGUUGUAAACCUCAAGUCUG